GUAAACGAUGUCGACUUGGAGGUUGUGCCCUUGAGGUGUGGCUUCCGGAGCUAACGCGUUAAGUCGACCGCCUGGGGAGUACGGCCGCAAGGUUAAAACUCAAAUGAAUUGACGGGGGCCCGCACAAGCGGUGGAGCAUGUGGUUUAAUUCGAUGCAACGCGAAGAACCUUACCUGGUCUUGACAUCCACGGAAGUUUUCAGAGAUGAGAAUGUGCCUUCGGGAACCGUGAGACAGGUGCUGCAUGGCUGUCGUCAGCUCGUGUUGUGAAAUGUUGGGUUAAGUCCCGCAACGAGCGCAACCCUUAUCCUUUGUUGCCAGCGGUCCGGCCGGGAACUCAAAGGAGACUGCCAGUGAUAAACUGGAGGAAGGUGGGGAUGACGUCAAGUCAUCAUGGCCCUUACGACCAGGGCUACACACGUGCUACAAUGGCGCAUACAAAGAGAAGCGACCUCGCGAGAGCAAGCGGACCUCAUAAAGUGCGUCGUAGUCCGGAUUGGAGUCUGCAACUCGACUCCAUGAAGUCGGAAUCGCUAGUAAUCGUGGAUCAGAAUGCCACGGUGAAUACGUUCCCGGGCCUUGUACACACCGCCCGUCACACCAUGGGAGUGGGUUGCAAAAGAAGUAGGUAGCUUAACCUUCGGGAGGGCGCUUACCACUUUGUGAUUCAUGACUGGGGUGAAGUCGUAACAAGGUAACCGUAGGGGAACCUGCGGUUGGAUCAC
RNAcentral lists this ribosomal RNA (724 nucleotides) under Escherichia coli. RNAcentral describes it as "bacterial SSU rRNA". It matches the Rfam family "Bacterial small subunit ribosomal RNA", at positions 802 to 1526 of the family's 1533-position model. Lineage: Bacteria; Pseudomonadati; Pseudomonadota; Gammaproteobacteria; Enterobacterales; Enterobacteriaceae. RNAcentral also lists the same sequence under 2 other names. The record is from RNAcentral.